RNAcentral lists this ribosomal RNA (498 nucleotides) under uncultured bacterium. RNAcentral's name for it is "bacterial SSU rRNA". It matches the Rfam family "Bacterial small subunit ribosomal RNA", at positions 15 to 507 of the family's 1533-position model. The record is from RNAcentral.
GAUCCUGGCUCAGGAUGAACGCUAGCGGCAGGCUUAACACAUGCAAGUCGAGGGGUAGAGGAAGCUUGCUUCCUUGAGACCGGCGCACGGGUGCGUAACGCGUAUACAAUCUACCUUUCACAGAGGGAUAGCCCAGAGAAAAUUUGGAUUAAUACCUCAUAGUAUAGCAGUUUCGCAUGAAACCACUAUAAAGUUCCAACGGUGAAAGAUGAGCAUGCGUCCCAUUAGCUAGAUGGUAAGGUAACGGCUUACCAUGGCUACGAUGGGUAGGGGUCCUGAGAGGGAGAUCCCCCACACUGGUACUGAGACACGGUCCAGACUCCUACGGGAGGCAGCAGUGGGGAAUUUUGGACAAUGGGGGCAACCCUGAUCCAGCAAUGCCGCGUGAGUGAAGAAGGCCCUCGGGUUGUAAAGCUCUUUUGUCAGGGAAGAAACGGUGAAUCCUAAUAUGGUUUGCUAAUGACGGUACCUGAAGAAUAAGCACCGGCUAACUACGUG